RNAcentral lists this ribosomal RNA (26 nucleotides) under Synechococcus sp. MI0608H. Its description in RNAcentral is "partial 23S ribosomal RNA". The record is from RNAcentral. Lineage: Bacteria; Bacillati; Cyanobacteriota; Cyanophyceae; Synechococcales; Synechococcaceae.
GGUCAAGCUACAAAAAGGCUUAUUUG